UUCAAUUUAUCCUGAAGUGAUUUCGAUAUUGUCAAUCAGUUAUUUUGCUUGAGUGGUGUUGCUUCUCCUCCCCUGGAUUGAAAAUAAGUCUGGUGAAAAGAACUGGAAUGUUUACAUCUCAAACUUCCUCAAAUUAGUUCAUAAAAAACCAGAGUUUUUUUUUUUUUUCUAGAGUGGAGUUGCUUCUCCUGUUGUAGUUCCUUACUGUGUUUUUGCUUGCAAGGGAAUGGUUUGUGGCUGCUGGGUUGGCUUCUCCCGGCCUUGAGUUUUUCAGUGUCUAUAACAUUCUUUUUGUAGUGUGUUUGUUUUUGCAAGUUGCCUUUCUUUGUAUUUUUUUGGCUUAGUGUUCCAUUUAUUGUAGCUUAUUUGAUGGACAAGAUAUUGCAGGUAAAAUUGGUCUAUAGCUUUUUGUUUUUUUUUCCCCAUUGUUAUUAACAACACAAUCUUUGAUUUUAACCUAUGUGAUCAUAAUGUUUACUUAUAUGCGACUGUCUUGAGUUUACUUGACUUGGGUAAUAACAUUUCACUAGUUUGUUACUUGCAUUGAUCGCUCAAUAUUCAUUAAUAUUACUACUUAGAUUAAUUUAGUUAAUUAUGUAAUGCUUAAUUUGUGUGUGUACAUGAAUUUCAAGUGUUAGUUUUUAAUAUUGUAUUCAUUUUAGGCUAGUGUUAGAGAAUGUUUGUCGAGUUCAUUAGAGGAGGACAUUAUUCCAUCGCUGUCUAUUGCUAUGGGCAAUUUGCUGGAGCUACUGUCAAAGCUUAUCUCUAAGAAAUAUUACAUUGAGUAUGUUAAAAUGGUGUAAUGGCUUAUAAAUGCGGGAGACGCUUGACUUGCAAGCCUGCCAAUUGCAUCUAAUCUUUGUGCAGGUUGGCAUUGUUCACGCUAUAAAUAAGCUUCAUAGUGAUCUACCAGGUUUGAGCUUAGCUGUGUCCCUUCAUGCACCAAUUCAAGAGUUUGUUGCCAGAUAAUGCCUGCAGCUCAAGCUUUUCCUCUGGAAAAACUUACGAGGGCACUUCAUGUAUAUCAAAAGAAUAGUCAGCAAAAAAUAUUUAUUGAGUGCGUUGUGCUGGAUAAGGUGAAUGAUAAAGAGCCACAUGCUCACCAGCUUGGCAAACUGCUAGAGACAUCUCAAUUGGUAACAAUUGAUGUUGCAAGUCCAGAAGCAGCUUGUAGCCGAAGUAGAAAUUGUGGAACCAGGUUUCAAAACUGCUAUCAUUUCAAAGUCUGGUGAAGGUGUAGCUCAUGUAUCUCCCUUGGAGAAAAUAUGCUUCUAAGCCAUCUCUUGCUGAAAAGAUAGAAGAGGAGAAGCCAAAACCUAAAGUUGAAACAGCACCUGUCAUGGAUAAGCAGCCUAAAGCACCCUCUCUGCCACCUUCUAAGCACUCUGCAACCGAGCCCCAGCUUCCACCUGAGGACAGGGAAGGACAGGUUCCUAUGACAAGGCGACAGAAAAGGGUUACUACAACAUUGAAGGACUCUCAGAAUACAUUUGCAAUGUUGACAACAUUCAAUGAAGUUGAUAUGCAUGUUUAGUCCUACUGUAUUGAAUGUUGCCUGUGCCACUUUUUCAUAUUUAUGGCACUAGAUAUUAUGAUUUUCUUUUUUCUCAUUUUGUACAUCUGGUGUGCAUGUGUUCUUGCCAACAAAUGUAGAAGGCUCUCUUAAUUUUUAUAUUCAUGCAAACAUGUUACCCUUGUUUUUCAAGUCCACCACCACCCACCUUGUAAUUAGAUAACUCACUUACCUUGUGCUUCUACUGCUUUAUAAAUUCAUCUAUAUCUUGCAAUUUCUGGAUGAUUUAUUUUAUUAUGCUAUUAAUCUUUUUUCCAAAUUAAAACAAGGAGCAGCUCUCCAUAUGUCCAUGUAUUCCCUGUUUUUUAAGCUCUGCUGUCUUGCACAGGGCAUGACAUCUUGUUAGGAGUGUUAAAUGAAAGAAAGAGACGACAAAGGCACAAGCAUAAGACAGGACAAGUGUCACUCAAACAAAAAUUAAGGUUGGACCACAAACACAGAAGACUGGAACCUGGCAAGAGCAGAGCAAGGGAGAUGCUUAUGGAGAGAAAAUAAAAGCUGGAAAUGAAUCAAGAGGAAGGAAGGGAAGAAACUAGAGGUAAAGGGAGUGAAGGGAGAGUUUUCAGACUUUAGAAUGCUGGAUAGUCUAUGUUUUUGUAUUUUUUUUUUUUUUGGCUGAGUUAUGCUGAAUACAGUAGCAGAGAACUGUCUUUGUAUUACUGUAACCUUACCAAUACAAUUAGUAUUUUUCAUACAUUGCUCUUGAAUUUAUUUACUACAUAUUUUCA
Mangifera indica (mango) is the source of this 2301-nucleotide RNA transcript. It is a transcript of the gene named dihydrolipoyllysine-residue succinyltransferase component of 2-oxoglutarate dehydrogenase complex 2, mitochondrial-like, with no coding region annotated. The transcript is spliced from 5 exons. Lineage: Eukaryota; Viridiplantae; Streptophyta; Magnoliopsida; Sapindales; Anacardiaceae. The record is from RefSeq and is a predicted model, not a curated record.